RNAcentral lists this ribosomal RNA (378 nucleotides) under uncultured eukaryote. RNAcentral's name for it is "partial 18S ribosomal RNA". It matches the Rfam family "Eukaryotic small subunit ribosomal RNA", at positions 592 to 976 of the family's 1831-position model. The record is from RNAcentral.
CAAUAGCGUAUAUUUAAGUUGUUGCAGUUAAAAAGCUCGUAGUUGGAUUUUGGGUCGAGGCAGCCGGUCCGUCGUUUCGAUGUGUACUGGUUUCUUCUUCCUUUCUGCCGGGGACGGCAUUUACUCUUCAUUGAGUGGUGUCGGAGUCGGCGUUGUUACUUUGAAAAAAUUAGAGUGUUCAAAGCAAGCCAUCGCUCUGAAUACAUUAGCAUGGAAUAACAUGAUAGGACUCUGGUCUUAUUUUGUUGGUUUCCGAGACUGGAGUAAUGAUUAAUAGGGACAGUCGGGGGCAUCCGUAUUUCAUUGUCAGAGGUGAAAUUCUUGGAUUUAUGAAAGACGAACUUCUGCGAAAGCAUUUGCCAAGGAUGUUUUCAUUAA